GAUGAACGCUGGCGGCGUGCCUAAUACAUGCAAGUCGAGCGAAUGGAUUAAGAGCUUGCUCUUAUGAAGUUAGCGGCGGACGGGUGAGUAACACGUGGGUAACCUGCCCAUAAGACUGGGAUAACUCCGGGAAACCGGGGCUAAUACCGGAUAACAUUUUGAACCGCAUGGUUCGAAAUUGAAAGGCGGCUUCGGCUGUCACUUAUGGAUGGACCCGCGUCGCAUUAGCUAGUUGGUGAGGUAACGGCUCACCAAGGCAACGAUGCGUAGCCGACCUGGGAGGGUGAUCGGCCACACUGGGACUGAGACACGGCCCAGACUCCUACGGGAGGCAGCAGUAGGGAAUCUUCCGCAAUGGACGAAAGUCUGACGGAGCAACGCCGCGUGAGUGAUGAAGGCUUUCGGGUCGUAAAACUCUGUUGUUAGGGAAGAAUAAGUGCUAGUUGAAUAAGCUGGCACCUUGACGGUACCUAACCAGAAAGCCACGGCUAACUACGUGCAGCCGCCGCGGUAA
RNAcentral lists this ribosomal RNA (514 nucleotides) under uncultured bacterium. Its description in RNAcentral is "partial 16S ribosomal RNA". It matches the Rfam family "Bacterial small subunit ribosomal RNA", at positions 28 to 523 of the family's 1533-position model. The record is from RNAcentral.